RNAcentral lists this ribosomal RNA (468 nucleotides) under uncultured bacterium. RNAcentral describes it as "partial 16S ribosomal RNA". It matches the Rfam family "Bacterial small subunit ribosomal RNA", at positions 28 to 507 of the family's 1533-position model. The record is from RNAcentral.
GACGAACGCUGGCGGCGUGCUUAACACAUGCAAGUCGAACGGAAAGGCCCUGCUUUUGUGGGGUGCUCGAGUGGCGAACGGGUGAGUAACACGUGAGUAACCUGCCCUUGACUUUGGGAUAACUUCAGGAAACUGGGGCUAAUACCGGAUAGGAGCUCCUGCUGCAUGGUGGGGGUUGGAAAGUUUCGGCGGUUGGGGAUGGACUCGCGGCUUAUCAGCUUGUUGGGGGGGUAGUGGCUUACCAAGGCUUUGACGGGUAGCCGGCCUGAGAGGGUGACCGGCCACAUUGGGACUGAGAUACGGCGCAGUCUCCUACGGGAGGCAGCAGUGGGGAGUAUUGCACAGUGGGGGGAAGCCUGAUGCAGCAACGCCGCGUGCGGGAUGACGGCCUUCGGGUUGUAAACCGCUUUCGCCUGUGCCGAAGCGUGAGUGACGGUAAUGGGUAAAGAAGCAACGGCUAACUACGUG